CAAAUUUCUGCCCUAUCAAGUUUCGAUGGUAGGAUAGAGGCCUACCAUGCUUGGGUACGGGUAACGGCGAAUUAGGGUUCGAUUCCGGAGAGGGAGCCUGAGAAACGGCUACCACAUCUAAGGAAGGCAGCAGGCGCGCAAAUUACCCAAUCCUGAUUCAGGGAGGUAGUGACAAUAAAUAACAAUCCAGGACUUCGGUCUUGGAAUUGGAAUGAGAACAAUUUAAAUCUCUUAUCGAGGAACAAUUGGAGGGCAAGUCUGGUGCCAGCAGCCGCGGUAAUUCCAGCUCCAAUAGCGUAUAUUAAAGUUGUUGCAGUUAAAUAGCUCGUAGUUGAAUCUUGGGGCUGGUUUGGCGGUCGCGUCUUUGACGUGUACUGUCGGCCGGUUCUUUUACUUGUGGGGAACGUAUGUGCCCUUUGCGGGGUGUGUACGGGAACCAUGGCUGUUACUUUGAAAAAAUUAGAGUGUUUAAAGCGGGCGUAAGGCUGGUAUACAUUAGCAUGGAAUAAUAGAAUAGGACUUUGGUUU
This 528-nucleotide ribosomal RNA is filed under the name uncultured fungus. RNAcentral describes it as "SSU rRNA". It matches the Rfam family "Eukaryotic small subunit ribosomal RNA", at positions 300 to 836 of the family's 1831-position model. The record is from RNAcentral. Lineage: Eukaryota; Fungi.